UUAAGCCAAGAAAAUAUUCUUGUAUCACAAGUCUGUGGACUCAACUCAGCCACAAGAAAUCACAUAAAGAGAAAUAAGGCACCUAACACACAGAACACAGGCCUGCAACAUGAACAUUCCACAGAGACAAAGACUUGGGACCACUAAUAUAAAUAAUGGAUCAAACUUUAGCAAAAGAAGGAUAUGUCAAGAGACAAGGCAAGGAUGGAAAGUUUUAUAACAUCAUGUGAAAACUAUCAAGACUCUCUAUGAAAGACAUUGUUUGGUUUUAUUAUGCUGCUUUAUCAAAAAUAUAAUUCCAUUAUUCAACUUGAGGUUCAUACAGUCUCUGAAGAAAAUUCAUACAAGUAUAUAAAUGAGUAAGAAUUAAGCUGUGUCAGCUCUUUGUAUAUCAAGUAUGAG
Molecule: long non-coding RNA, 402 nt
Filed under: Cyanistes caeruleus (blue tit)
Lineage: Eukaryota; Metazoa; Chordata; Aves; Passeriformes; Paridae
Description: lncRNA (ENSCCEG00000002254.1)
Source: RNAcentral